Molecule: ribosomal RNA, 500 nt
Filed under: uncultured bacterium
Lineage: Bacteria
Description: partial 16S ribosomal RNA
Rfam family: Bacterial small subunit ribosomal RNA
Source: RNAcentral
AUUGAACGCUGGCGGAAUGCUUUACACAUGCAAGUCGAACGGCAGCACGGACUUCGGUCUGGUGGCGAGUGGCGAACGGGUGAGUAAUGUAUCGGAACGUGCCCAGUCGUGGGGGAUAACGUAGUGAAAAUUACGCUAAUACCGCAUACGAUCUAUGGAUGAAAGCGGGGGAUCGCAAGACCUCGCGCGAUUGGAGCGGCCGAUAUCAGAUUAGGUAGUUGGUGGGGUAAAGGCCCACCAAGCCAACGAUCUGUAGCUGGUAUGAGAGGACGACCAGCCACACUGGAACUGAGACACGGUCCGGACUCCUACGGGAGGCAGCAGUGGGGAAUUUUGGACAAUGGGCGAAAGCCUGAUCCAGCCAUUCCGCGUGCAGGAUGAAGGCCCUCGGGUUGUAAACUGCUUUUGUACAGAACGAAAAGGUUUCUACUAAUACUAGGAGCUCAUGACGGUACUGUAAGAAUAAGCACCGGCUAACUACGUGCCAGCCGCCGCGGUAA